Molecule: long non-coding RNA, 255 nt
Organism: Manis pentadactyla (Chinese pangolin)
Lineage: Eukaryota; Metazoa; Chordata; Mammalia; Pholidota; Manidae
Exons: 2
Source: RefSeq, a predicted model, not a curated record
GGGCAGGGCUGAAGAGGAAGGCUGGUUGCGUUCGGUACACUCCAGUCGCACGUGUUCCGCUGCGGAAUGCUUCUGCCAAAACAACUAUCCACGAUCACAGCCAAAGAAAGUGCAUCAAUGGGCCCACGUUCCCCACCAUCCUGAAGCAGCUUGUUUGAUAGAACAAUGUAAUGUGCUUUUUAACUCAGUUACAGAAUCUGCAAGUGGCAAUACCUGAUUAUUUUUGGUGACACAUAUAAAUACAAUUGAUCUUUG